AGAGAUGAGGAAAUGAAAUGAUGGAUAAUUAUAUUAAUAAACUGGAAAAUAAAAGGUACAAAUUAAAAGGAGAAGGAAAACAAAAUGAAAGUGAAUAAAAUGAUAGAAAAGAGAAGAAAAUAAGAGAAAAGAAAAGAAAUGAUCAGCUAAGAGAAAAGACAUCUAGAGAAAAGGAAAGAAAACGAGAGAAAAGAUAAGAAAAAUAAUAAAAGAAGAAAAAAGAAAAUAAAAGAAAAUGAAGAGAGAAGGGAAAAGAAAAUGAGAGAAAAGAGAAGAAAAUAGAGAAAAAAAAAAAGAAAAAAAUUUAAUAGAAAUAGGCUUUCUACAUAUG
RNAcentral lists this unclassified non-coding RNA (331 nucleotides) under Hevea brasiliensis (rubber tree). Lineage: Eukaryota; Viridiplantae; Streptophyta; Magnoliopsida; Malpighiales; Euphorbiaceae. The record is from RNAcentral.